RNAcentral lists this signal recognition particle RNA (299 nucleotides) under Moelleriella libera RCEF 2490. RNAcentral describes it as "Aschersonia aleyrodis RCEF 2490 Fungal signal recognition particle RNA". It matches the Rfam family "Fungal signal recognition particle RNA". Lineage: Eukaryota; Fungi; Ascomycota; Sordariomycetes; Hypocreales; Clavicipitaceae. The record is from Rfam by way of RNAcentral.
CGGCUGUAAUGGUCAAAUGGCGAAGACUCUUGUUCUUCUCGCCGUGCCGAUGGGCACACUAUCAACCAGACCCGAACCCGUUAGAUCCCCCUCGCCUGGCGCCCAGUUCGAACGCCGCGGUGGUCUUGCGUGCUCGCACGGGUAACCUGCGAUGCCAUGCGGCCCUAAGCAAUGGAGAUGACCCUUGAGAGAGGACUCACUCUGCAGAGAACUCUCCCCCGUCGCGUGGCGGAUUGGAUCACGACCGCGGGGGGCUUGGGUUGGUUGAGCGAGAUAGAGAUGCGCGACGCUUCCUUUUU